Molecule: non-coding RNA, 82 nt
Organism: Mauremys mutica (yellowpond turtle)
Lineage: Eukaryota; Metazoa; Chordata; Testudines; Geoemydidae
Source: the annotation of a RefSeq genome assembly
GUAUUUGUGGCUGAGUGGUUAAGGCGAUGGACUAAAAAUCCACUGGUAUCUCCCUGCGCAGGUUCAAAUCCUGCCAACUACG